GAUCCGGUGCCCUAGUGGUUUGUGCUUCCGCCUCUGAUGCGAGAGGACAUGGGUUCGAUCCUUGUCCGAGUCA
Non-coding RNA from Potamilus streckersoni, 73 nucleotides. Lineage: Eukaryota; Metazoa; Mollusca; Bivalvia; Unionida; Unionidae. The record is from the annotation of a GenBank genome assembly.